ACUCGAGUGGCGAACGGGUGAGUAACACGUGGGUGAUCUGCCCUGCACUUCGGGAUAAGCUUGGGAAACUGGGUCUAAUACCGGAUAGGAGCCAUCUUUAGUGUGGUGGUUGGAAAGUUUUUCGGUGUAGGAUGAGCUCGCGGCCUAUCAGCUUGUUGGUGGGGUAAUGGCCUACCAAGGCGGCGACGGGUAGCCGGCCUGAGAGGUUGGUCGGCCACAUUGGGACUGAGAUACGGCCCAG
Molecule: ribosomal RNA, 241 nt
Filed under: uncultured Actinomycetales bacterium
Lineage: Bacteria; Bacillati; Actinomycetota; Actinomycetes; Actinomycetales
Description: partial 16S ribosomal RNA
Rfam family: Bacterial small subunit ribosomal RNA
Source: RNAcentral